UACGGAGGGUGCAAGCGUUAAUCGGAAUUACUGGGCGUAAAGCGUGCGCAGGCGGUUCGUUAAGUCCGUUGUGAAAGCCCCGAGCUCAACUUGGGAAUUGCAGUGGAUACUGGCAGGCUGGAGUACGGUAGAGGAAGGUGGAAUUCCCGGUGUAGCAGUGAAAUGCGUAGAUAUCGGGAGGAACACCAGUGGCGAAGGCGGCCUUCUGGACCAGUCCUGACGCUCAUGCACGAAAGCGUGGGGAGCAAACAGG
This 253-nucleotide ribosomal RNA is filed under the name uncultured bacterium. RNAcentral's name for it is "partial 16S ribosomal RNA". It matches the Rfam family "Bacterial small subunit ribosomal RNA", at positions 524 to 776 of the family's 1533-position model. The record is from RNAcentral.